This 336-nucleotide ribosomal RNA is filed under the name Delectopecten vitreus. Its description in RNAcentral is "eukaryotic LSU rRNA". It matches the Rfam family "Eukaryotic large subunit ribosomal RNA", at positions 42 to 370 of the family's 3401-position model. The record is from RNAcentral. Lineage: Eukaryota; Metazoa; Mollusca; Bivalvia; Pectinida; Pectinidae.
AUCACUAAGCGGAGGAAAAGAAACUAACAAGGAUUCCCCUAUUAACGGCGAGUGAAGCGGGAAUAGCCCAGCACCGAAUCCCUCAGCCUUGCGCUGCCGGGACCUGUGGUGUUUGGGACGGCCGAUGUCGUGUCGUUCGGGUGCCCAAGUCCUCCUGAUCGGGGCCUCUCCCAGAGUGGGUGUCAGGCCUUUACCGGCACUCGUCGACUCGGCUAUGGUCGUCCUCGGAGUCGGGUUGUUUGGGAAUGCAGCCCAAAGUUGGUGGUAAACUCCAUUUAAGGCUAAAUACUGACACGAGUCCGAUAGCGGACAAGUACCGUGAGGGAAAGUUGAAAA